RNAcentral lists this transfer RNA (73 nucleotides) under Camelus ferus (Wild Bactrian camel). It matches the Rfam family "tRNA". From Rfam's summary of the family: Transfer RNA (tRNA) molecules are approximately 80 nucleotides in length. Their secondary structure includes four short double-helical elements and three loops (D, anti-codon, and T loops). Further hydrogen bonds mediate the characteristic L-shaped molecular structure. tRNAs have two regions of fundamental functional importance: the anti-codon, which is responsible for specific mRNA codon recognition, and the 3' end, to which the tRNAs corresponding amino acid is attached (by aminoacyl-tRNA synthetases). tRNAs cope with the degeneracy of the genetic code in two manners: having more than one tRNA (with a specific anti-codon) for a particular amino acid; and 'wobble' base-pairing, i.e. permitting non-standard base-pairing at the 3rd anti-codon position. The record is from Rfam by way of RNAcentral. Lineage: Eukaryota; Metazoa; Chordata; Mammalia; Artiodactyla; Camelidae.
GAGGGUAUAGCUCAAGUGGUAGAGUGCCUGCUUAGCAUGCACAAGGGCCUGGGUUCGAUACCCAGUACAUCCG